GACGAACGCUGGCGGCGUGCCUAAUACAUGCAAGUAGAACGCUGAAGGAGGAGCUUGCUCUUCUGGAUGAGUUGCGAACGGGUGAGUAACGCGUAGGUAACCUGCCUGGUAGCGGGGGAUAACUAUUGGAAACGAUAGCUAAUACCGCAUAAGAGUAGAUGUUGCAUGACAUUUACUUAAAAGGUGCAAUUGCAUCACUACCAGAUGGACCUGCGUUGUAUUAGCUAGUUGGUGGGGUAACGGCUUACCAAGGCGACGAUACAUAGCCGACCUGGGAGGGUGAUCGGCCACACUGGGACUGAGACACGGCCCAGACUCCUACGGGAGGCAGCAGUAGGGAAUCUUCGGCAAUGGACGGAAGUCUGACCGAGCAACGCCGCGUGAGUGAAGAAGGUUUUCGGAUCGUAAAGCUCUGUUGUAAGAGAAGAACGAGUGUGAGAGUGGAAAGUUCACACUGUGACGGUAUCUUACCAGAAAGGGACGGCUAACUACGUG
This 495-nucleotide ribosomal RNA is filed under the name uncultured bacterium. RNAcentral describes it as "partial 16S ribosomal RNA". It matches the Rfam family "Bacterial small subunit ribosomal RNA", at positions 28 to 507 of the family's 1533-position model. The record is from RNAcentral.